This 1131-nucleotide ribosomal RNA is filed under the name Cotylophoron cotylophoron. RNAcentral describes it as "eukaryotic LSU rRNA". It matches the Rfam family "Eukaryotic large subunit ribosomal RNA", at positions 192 to 929 of the family's 3401-position model. The record is from RNAcentral. Lineage: Eukaryota; Metazoa; Platyhelminthes; Trematoda; Plagiorchiida; Paramphistomidae.
AAAGCCCAGCGCCGAAGCCUGUGACUGUUUGGUCACUCUUCAAUGUGGUCAUCUCCCUGGGUAGACCUUGGAGUCGGGUUGUUUGUGAUUGCAGCCCGAAGUGGGUGGUAAACUCCAUCCAAGGCUAAAUACUUGCACGAGUCCGAUAGCGAACAAGUACCGUGAGGGAAAGUUGAAAAGUACUUUGAAGAGAGAGUAAACAGUGCGUGAAACCGCUCAGAGGUAAACGGGUGGAGUUGAACUGCAAACUCUGAGAAUUCAGCUGGUGAGUGUGGUUUGGGCUUGGUCAAAGUGAUUGGCCUGGUGGGUCUGCUCAGCUGCAGGUCCCUGUCUUCGGGUGGGGAUGUGCGAGGCACUUGUCAAGUGUUGCGCGCCCGCAAGGUAACUCGGAUCAGCUCGCCAGUGCACUUUCUCGGAGUGUUCACCACGACCGGCGCUGCUGCCUGUCUGAUGUGGUCAAACCGGUCUUGCGUUGUCCUUGCGGCUCUGCUUGGUCGGGAUGGCAGGUAACUCGUUGGCUUGCGUGCUGGCCUCGGUUGGCAUGCGUUUGGCUUUCGAGCGUAAUCAGCUGACUAUGUCAGUACUGUGCAGUGCGUCGGAGACGGCGGCUUGUUGUGGGUGUUCGUGCUUGCUCGUUGACGGUCCCGAGUUUGAUUGUUAUGUUGCCUGUCUCUGAUAGGCCUGGUAAUAGCUCGGUUCUGCUUGGUGGGCAGUUGCGGAUGCUUACAUUUGGGGGCCAACAGUCUGUGGUGUAGUGGUAGACUAUCCACCCGACCCGUCUUGAAACACGGACCAAGGAGAGUAACAUGUGCGCGAGUCAUUGGGUGUUACGAAGCCCAGAGGCGCAGUGAAAGUAAAGGCUCGGCUUGUCUGGGCUGAGGUGAGAUCCUGCCGUUUCUCACGCAGGGUACUACCAAGCGUUUGAGCGGCGGGCGCAUCACCGGCCCGUCCCAUGGCGUGGACACGGUCUUCGGGCUGUGCACCGUCGGGGCGGAGCAUGAGCGCACAUGUUGAGACCCGAAAGAUGGUGAACUAUGCUUGCGCAGGUUGAAGCCAGAGGAAACUCUGGUGGAGGACCGCAGCGAUUCUGACGUGCAAAUCGAUCGUCAAACGUGAGUAUAGGGGCGAAAG